GACGAACGCUGGCGGCGUGCUUAACACAUGCAAGUCGAACGGAAAGGCCCUGCUUUUGUGGGGUGCUCGAGUGGCGAACGGGUGAGUAACACGUGAGUAACCUGCCCUUGACUUUGGGAUAACUUCAGGACACUGGGGCUAAUACCGGAUAGGAGCUCCUGCUGCUUGGUGGGGGUUGGAAAGUUUCGGCGGUUGGGGUUGGACUCGCGGCUUAUCAGCUUGUUGGUGGGGUAGUGGAUGACCAAGGCUUUGACGGGUAGCAGGGCUGCGAGGGUGACCGGCCACAUUGGGACUGAGAUACGGCCCAGACUCCUACGGGAGGCAGCGGUGGGGAAGAGUGCACUAGGGGCUGAAGCCUGAUGCAGCAAAGCCACGUGCGGGAUGACGGCCUUCGGGUUGUAUACCGCUUUCGCCUUUGACGAGGCGUGAGUGACGGUAAUGGGUAAAGAAGCACCGGCUAACUACGUG
Molecule: ribosomal RNA, 468 nt
Filed under: uncultured bacterium
Lineage: Bacteria
Description: partial 16S ribosomal RNA
Rfam family: Bacterial small subunit ribosomal RNA
Source: RNAcentral